Molecule: ribosomal RNA, 239 nt
Filed under: uncultured bacterium
Lineage: Bacteria
Description: partial 16S ribosomal RNA
Rfam family: Bacterial small subunit ribosomal RNA
Source: RNAcentral
UACGUAGGGUCCGAGCGUUAAUCGGAAUUACUGGGCGUAAAGCGUGCGCAGGCGGUUUUGUAAGCCAGAUGUGAAAUCCCCGGGCUUAACCUGGGAACUGCAUUUGUGACUGCAUGGCUGGAGUGCGGCAGAGGGGGAUGGAAUUCCGCGUGUAGCAGUGAAAUGCGUAGAUAUGCGGAGGAACACCGAUGGCGAAGGCAAUCCCCUGGGCCUGCACUGACGCUCAUGCACGAAAGCGU